Molecule: microRNA, 22 nt
Filed under: Echinococcus granulosus
Lineage: Eukaryota; Metazoa; Platyhelminthes; Cestoda; Cyclophyllidea; Taeniidae
Description: egr-miR-10227c-5p
Source: miRBase by way of RNAcentral
UGGCGCUUGACCAUGCUACUGA